RNAcentral lists this ribosomal RNA (800 nucleotides) under uncultured Ichthyosporea. Its description in RNAcentral is "bacterial SSU rRNA". It matches the Rfam family "Eukaryotic small subunit ribosomal RNA", at positions 46 to 862 of the family's 1831-position model. The record is from RNAcentral. Lineage: Eukaryota; Ichthyosporea.
AUGCCAUGCAUGUGUAAGUAUAAACAGAUUAUAGUGAAACUGCGGAAAGCUCAUUAAACCAAUUAUCAUUUACUUGAUGAUGACUAGUACUUGGAUAGCCGUACUAAUUGUAGAGCUAAUACAUGCUAAAAGACACGACGCAAGAAGUGUUGCAUUUAUUAGAGACAGAAUCAAUUCCACGCAAGUGGGUUUUUGGUGAUUCAUAAUAACUGUGCUGAUCGUGGCGUUGCCGCGAUGGUUCAUUCAAGUUUUUGCCCUAUCAAGUUUCUUUCGUAGUGUAUUGGACUACGGAGCUAGCGACGGGUAACGGAGAAUUAGGGUUCGAUUCCGGAGAGGGGGCUUGAGAAUUGGCCACCACUUCCAAGGAAGGCAGCAGGCGCGUAAAUUGCCCAAUGACAAUUCGUCGAGGCAGUGACAAAGAAUAACAAUCUACAGGACUAAGUCUUGUGGAAUUGGAAUGAGAACAAUCCAAAAACAUUAUCGAAUCCAUUAGAGGGCAAGUCUGGUGCCAGCAGCCGCGGUAAUUCCAGCUCUAAUAGCGUAUAUUAAAGUUGUUGCAGUUAAAACGCUCGUAGUUGAAAUUCGGGUUGUUUGCAGCGCUGCGUCAUGUGACGUUGGUGUUGCGGCAGCCAUUGUGUCGGGUGGUGGGGGUAGGUCCUUAAGUGGGUCUGCUUUUUGGCACCCGUUGUUUACUUUGAAAAAAUCAGAGUGUUCAAAGCAAGCGUUUUUGCAGUGCAUGUUUCAGCAUGGAAUAAUGGAAUACGACGACGGUCGUGUUUUGUUGGUUCUAAUGGCCGUUG